This 497-nucleotide ribosomal RNA is filed under the name uncultured bacterium. RNAcentral's name for it is "partial 16S ribosomal RNA". It matches the Rfam family "Bacterial small subunit ribosomal RNA", at positions 28 to 507 of the family's 1533-position model. The record is from RNAcentral.
GAUGAACGCUGGCGGCGUGCCUAAUACAUGCAAGUCGAGCGAACGGACGAGAAGCUUGCUUCUCUGAUGUUAGCGGCGGACGGGUGAGUAACACGUGGAUAACCUACCUAUAAGACUGGGAUAACUUCGGGAAACCGGAGCUAAUACCGGAUGAUAUUUUGAACCGCAUGGUUCAAAAGUGAAAGACGGUCUUGCUGUCACUUAUAGAUGGAUCCGCGCUGCAUUAGCUAGUUGGUAAGGUAACGGCUUACCAAGGCAACGAUGCAUAGCCGACCUGAGAGGGUGAUCGGCCACACUGGAACUGAGACCCGGUCCAGACUCCUACGGGAGGCAGCAGUAGGGAAUCUUCCGCAAUGGGCGAAAGCCUUACGGAGCAACGCCGCGUGAUUGAUGAAGGUCUUCGGGUCGGAAAACUCUGUUAUUAGGGAAGAACAUAUGUGUAAGUAACUGUGCGCAUCUUGACGGUACCUAAUCAGAAAGCCACGGCUAACUACGUG